RNAcentral lists this ribosomal RNA (401 nucleotides) under uncultured bacterium. Its description in RNAcentral is "bacterial SSU rRNA". It matches the Rfam family "Bacterial small subunit ribosomal RNA", at positions 356 to 774 of the family's 1533-position model. The record is from RNAcentral.
GGGGAAUAUUGCACAAUGGGCGAAAGCCUGAUGCAGCAACGCCGCGUGAGUGAUGAAGGCCUUCGGGUUGUAAAGCUCUGUCUUCUGGGACGAUAAUGACGGUACCGGAGGAGGAAGCCACGGCUAACUACGUGCCAGCAGCCGCGGUAAUACGUAGGUGGCAAGCGUUGUCCGGAUUUACUGGGCGUAAAGGAUGCGUAGGCGGAUACUUAAGUCAGAUGUGAAAAUCCCGGGCUUAACUUGGGAACUGCAUUUGAAACUGGGUAGCUAGAGUGCGGGAGAGGAAGGCGGAAUUCCUGGUGUAGUGGUGAAAUGCGUAGAUAUCAGGAGGAACACCGGCGGUGUAGACGGCUUGCUAGACCAUAACUGACGCUGAGGCACGAAAGCGUGGGUAGCAAACA